AUUAGGUGGAGAACCCCAGUACUUCAACUCUUUGAGGAGAGAGAUUUCCAGUAUGUUCACACUAACUGGUAGUUCAAAUGCUUUCAGACAGAAAAAAUGAUUAUAUAGUCACAUGGUUUAUUUGAUUUAGACUUCUUCAUGUUAGGAUCAUAUGAAUGCAUUUUUAUUGGUUUUGUACAGAAAACAUAUGUAUGGACAACAGAAGAAAAAGAUCCAGUAGAAAAGAUCUAUCGGUAUGCUCUUUGAGCCUUUCUUUUUCUGUUGCCUUUGACCUUUGUUGACAAAUUUUCGAAUGCAUUGAGUUUGAUGUUUAUUCCUUGCAGCGAAACGCAUGGGCUUGAAGGAGUUCAAAAUGGGGUAUGAAUCAUCUCAGUUUGACCUUUGUUUUAAAUCCAUUGAUUAUUGACCCUUGUGUCUAAACUGCCCUAAGAUACUUAUUCCUGGCUUCAUAAAUCACAAAACGGAGCCAAAGCUAUAGUCAAUGCAGAAAGUAAACUGAGCUAACAAAUAAAAAACAAUGCUACGACACACAAGAUCAACAAGCUAGAGCCUAAAUUAACAUCAGUAAUUCAAAUCCACUUAAGUAAUAUAGUGUGUGAUGUAAGCCAAAAAAUCCCGAUGUAACCAUUCUAGCCAAAGACUCUUUAGCCCAUAAGUAAUUCAUGUUUUUGUAGAUGCUCGACAUGGUUCUUGGUGAUCCAUAGAAUGAGCACCCUGAUCUCUGUUCUCCUCGGUUCCUGCGUGUGUGGAAAAGUAGCGGUGAGGUUCAAUAACUGGUUACACAUUGUUUUUUGAUUGCUCAGCACAACCAUGAUGUUUGAUGAAAUGUUCAACUCUGCUAUUGCACAUUUGCACGCUGCAGUGCAGUGUUGAAAUGUAGUUUACUUUUUGUUUGAGAAUUCACAUGACAUGUCAAUUUGUACAUUUUUAAGAGUCCAAAUUAGGUUCGUUUUGCAUAAUACAUGUGGUGUUUAAUACCAUUGUAUUCCGAAAAUGAUAUGAGCUUACCUUGCUGUAUCUCCAUGUAUAUCAUCAAAAUUUCUUUAAAAUGGACGCUUGAUUGAUUGAAAGACCUAAUGAAUUGCUAUUUGUCUUUGUUUUCAAAGGGAUGGCCUAUGACCCUUAAGAACUCAUCUGGAGCGAAGAGCAGCUGAGCAGGUAAUUACUCUGUCUCGAUUCGUUUUGAACGCAUAAUAUAAUCUAUACAUCAGAACCUAGCAGGCU
Molecule: long non-coding RNA, 1224 nt
Filed under: Zea mays
Lineage: Eukaryota; Viridiplantae; Streptophyta; Magnoliopsida; Poales; Poaceae
Description: long non-coding RNA (ZMAY_LNC005910)
Source: RNAcentral